RNAcentral lists this ribosomal RNA (496 nucleotides) under uncultured bacterium. RNAcentral describes it as "partial 16S ribosomal RNA". It matches the Rfam family "Bacterial small subunit ribosomal RNA", at positions 29 to 507 of the family's 1533-position model. The record is from RNAcentral.
AUGAACGCUGGCGGCGUGCCUCAUCCAUGCCAGUCGCGCGAACAGACGAGGAGCUUGCUCCUCUGACGUUAGCGGCGGACGGGUGAGUAACACGUGGAUAACCUACCUAUAAGACUGGGAUAACUUCGGGAAACCGGAGCUAAUACCGGAUAAUAUAUUGAACCGCAUGGUUCAAUGGUGAAAGACGGUUUUGCUGUCACUUAUAGAUGGAUCCGCGCCGCAUUAGCUAGUUGGUAAGGUAACGGCUUACCAAGGCAACGAUGCGUAGCCGACCUGAGAGGGUGAUCGGCCACACUGGAACUGAGACACGGUCCAGACUCCUACGGGAGGCAGCAGUAGGGAAUCUUCCGCAAUGGGCGAAAGCCUGACGGAGCAACGCCGCGUGAGUGAUGAAGGUCUUCGGAUCGUAAAACUCUGUUAUUAGGGAAGAACAAAUGUGUAAGUAACUAUGCACGUCUUGACGGUACCUAAUCAGAAAGCCACGGCUAACUACGUG